This 554-nucleotide ribosomal RNA is filed under the name uncultured bacterium. RNAcentral's name for it is "bacterial SSU rRNA". It matches the Rfam family "Bacterial small subunit ribosomal RNA", at positions 355 to 896 of the family's 1533-position model. The record is from RNAcentral.
UAGGGAAUCUUCGGCAUUGGACGGAAGUCUGACCGAGCAACGCCGCGUGAGUGAAGAAGGUUUUCGGAUCGUAAAGCUCUGUUGUAAGAGAAGAACGAGUGUGAGAGUGGAAAGUUCACACUGUGACGGUAUCUUACCAGAAAGGGACGGCUAACUACGUGCCAGCAGCCGCGGUAAUACGUANGUCCCGAGCGUUGUCCGGAUUUAUUGGGCGUAAAGCGAGCGCAGGCGGUUAGAUAAGUCUGAAGUUAAAGGCUGUGGCUUAACCAUAGUACGCUUUGGAAACUGUUUAACUUGAGUGCAAGAGGGGAGAGUGGAAUUCCAUGUGUAGCGGUGAAAUGCGUAGAUAUAUGGAGGAACACCGGUGGCGAAAGCGGCUCUCUGGCUUGUAACUGACGCUGAGGCUCGAAAGCGUGGGGAGCAAACAGGAUUAGAUACCCUGGUAGUCCACGCCGUAAACGAUGAGUGCUAGGUGUUAGACCCUUUCCCGGGGUUUAGUGCCGCAGCUAACGCAUUAAGCACUCCGCCUGGGGGAGUACGACCCGCAAGGGUUG